Molecule: unclassified non-coding RNA, 253 nt
Filed under: uncultured Bacteroidota bacterium
Lineage: Bacteria; Pseudomonadati; Bacteroidota
Description: uncultured Bacteroidetes bacterium contains 16S-23S intergenic spacer region
Rfam family: Bacterial small subunit ribosomal RNA
Source: RNAcentral
UACGGAGGGUGCAAGCGUUGUCCGGAAUCAUUGGGUGUAAAGGGUGCGUAGGCUGGCGCCUAAGUCUGGGGUGAAAUCUUACCGCUUAACGGUAAAAUGGCCCUGGAUACUGGGUGUCUUGAAUCUGACAGAGGUCGGUGGAAUUCGUGGUGUAGCGGUGAAAUGCAUAGAGAUCACGAAGAACACCAGUGGCGAAGGCGGCCGGCUGGGUCAGUAUUGACGCUGAGGCACGAGAGCGUGGGGAGCGAACAGG